RNAcentral lists this ribosomal RNA (253 nucleotides) under uncultured bacterium. Its description in RNAcentral is "partial 16S ribosomal RNA". It matches the Rfam family "Bacterial small subunit ribosomal RNA", at positions 524 to 776 of the family's 1533-position model. The record is from RNAcentral.
UACGAAGGGUGCAAACGUUGCUCGGAAUCAUUGGGCGUAAAGCGCACGUAGGCGGCUUCGCAAGUCGGAUGUGAAAUCCCUCGGCUCAACCGAGGACGUGCAUCCGAAACUGCGGAGCUUGAGUACUGAAGAGGAUCGCGGAAUUCCCGGUGUAGAGGUGAAAUUCGUAGAUAUCGGGAGGAACACCAGUGGCGAAGGCGGCGACCUGGUCCUUGACUGACGCUGAGGCGCGAAAGCGUGGGGAGCAAACAGG